This 483-nucleotide ribosomal RNA is filed under the name uncultured bacterium. RNAcentral's name for it is "partial 16S ribosomal RNA". It matches the Rfam family "Bacterial small subunit ribosomal RNA", at positions 30 to 507 of the family's 1533-position model. The record is from RNAcentral.
UUGCACGCUGGCGGCAGGCCUCACACCUGCAAGUCGAGCGGAUGAAGGGAGCUUGCUCCUGGAUUCAGCGGCGGACGGGUGAGUAAUGCCUAGGAAUCUGCCUGGUAGUGGGGGAUAACGUCCGGAAACGGGCGCUAAUACCGCAUACGUCCUGAGGGAGAAAGUGGGGGAUCUUCGGACCUCACGCUAUCAGAUGAGCCUAGGUCGGAUUAGCUAGUUGGUGGGGUAAAGGCCUACCAAGGCGACGAUCCGUAACUGGUCUGAGAGGAUGAUCAGUCACACUGGAACUGAGACACGGUCCAGACUCCUACGGGAGGCAGCAGUGGGGAAUAUUGGACAAUGGGCGAAAGCCUGAUCCAGCCAUGCCGCGUGUGUGAAGAAGGUCUUCGGAUUGUAAAGCACUUUAAGUUGGGAGGAAGGGCAGUAAGCUAAUACCUUGCUGUUUUGACGUUACCAACAGAAUAAGCACCGGCUAACUUCGUG